Molecule: ribosomal RNA, 442 nt
Filed under: uncultured bacterium
Lineage: Bacteria
Description: partial 16S ribosomal RNA
Rfam family: Bacterial small subunit ribosomal RNA
Source: RNAcentral
CCUACGGGAGGCAGCAGUGGGGGAUAUUGCACAAUGUGGGAAACCCUGAUGCAGCGACGCCGCGUGGGCGAAGAAGUAUUUCGGUAUGUAAAGACCUAUCAGCAGGGAAGAAAAAAUGACGGUACCUGAGUAAAAAGCACCGGCUAAAUACGUGCCAGCAGCCGCGGUAAUACGUAUGGUGCAAGCGUUAUCCGGCUUUACGGGGUGUAAAGGGAGCGCAGGCGGCACGGCAAGCCUGAUGUGAAAGCCCGGGGCGCAACCGCGGGACUGCAUUGGGAACUACCGGGCUGGAGUGCCGGAGAGGUAGGCGGAAUUCCUAGUGUAGCGGUGAAAUGCGUAGAUAUUAGGAGGAACACCAGUGGCGAAGGCGGCCUACUGGACGGUGACUGACGCUGAGGCUCGAAAGCGUGGGGAGCAAACAGGAUUAGAUACCCCUGUAGUC